Molecule: long non-coding RNA, 3544 nt
Organism: Talpa occidentalis (Iberian mole)
Lineage: Eukaryota; Metazoa; Chordata; Mammalia; Eulipotyphla; Talpidae
Exons: 5
Source: RefSeq, a predicted model, not a curated record
CGAAGCCGUGCAGACGGGGCGCACGCGUGCCGGGGGCUGGAGUCAGCAUUCUGCCUGCUGAGACCCGCUGUCUCCUCUCGCCACAGCUGCUCACCGGGGCCCAGAGUGUGGCCGGCCGGGGAGUCCAGCGCACCUUGCCGCCCUGCCCUUCCAGUAAUUGCAAGGUGAAAACAAAAGUGAGGCGCCAGCAGCCUACACGGCCAGGGAGCCCCAGAAGGAGGAAGCACCGUCAUCACGGGGUGUUCCAGUUUCCACAAGUGCGUACAGGCGUCCAACAUGCCAGGGCCGUGAGUGGUAACCUCUCCCUGGCAGAGGCUCGUCAGGCCGCGGGAGCGCCUGGGUCUCAAUGAGCAAGUUCUCAAGGAAGACAAGGGCCCUGGAGAUGCCCGUAAUGCCAAACCCGCUGUCUCCUGCGCCCCAAAGGUUUCUUUAACCUUUCACAGGGCACAGCUGUGAGGACCUCAGAGAGGCCUGGGAGACAAGGUCCCUGAGCCGAAGGACUCAGGUCUGGUCAUCUUCUGUGGGCGUACGGUCCCUUGAGACUGGGCGAGGGAGCGCGGUGCAGCUCCGUGGGGCUUUGUGGUGGUGAGCCGUGGAUAAUGCUCACUCCUUCCGGACUUCUGAGAAGCCGAUUGGAGAUGAAUGGGCCUGGAGAGCCAGCAGUGCCCGCCCCCAGCUCAGGAUGAAUGAAUGAGGUCAUGUUUGUAGAGCGCUGUGAGCCAUGAGGAUGAAAGCAGCUCCUCAAGAGCAAGGAUCCCAGAGUCACGGAGGGACUUUCAACUGACCAGGACCCAGAAGAACGGAGGGAAACAGUGAAGUGGGCAUUUCUCUUGCCGCUUGAAGGUUUCAGAAGGUCCAGGAAGCCAGCGAACGCCGAGAAGAUGAAUGGGCAAAGGAAAAGAAGUUCUGGAGCCUUGCGUGCCUUUUGCCCUGGGGGGCUGGUGACGUCCCGUGUGCCCGCAGUGCAAGAGUUACACAGAAAUCAUCCGGCAGCGGGCUUCGGAGGGAGAAGAGCCAGCGAAGGGCCAGAGGUGACUUCACGGAAAAGUAGAUAAAGAAGCUACAAAGGCAGCUGAAGUCGCAGCCUUUUGAACAGCUCUCUUUGUUCAGGCCGCAGCUGAGGAGGAAAUCCACAAUAAGGAAUUCACAUUUGGCAAGAAGCAAAAUGACAGCCUGAUGGCUGAUUUCCUAAUGGACAAGGUUAUUUUCUUCAUCAGAGAAACUGCCGCGCGGCCAGAGGAACUGUUCCCAGGGCCCCAGGACUUGUGGACGCCGACCCCUUGGUGGACGUCAGCCUGGGCCACGGGCCUGGGCAGGACGUGCCGUUCGCUGCCAGUGGAUUCAGCCUUAAUCCACUGACAUCACGGGCUGAGGACCAAGAGGCCCACCAGGGACCUGGUGUCUUCUGGAGAGACCCACGCGCUUACUCAGCACAGCCAGGCCGCAGUCUUCCCAGACGGGGGCAGAAUUGGCCCCGGAAGGGUUAAGAAGGGGCCUGACUUAGCUCCUCCAGGCCCCCAGCCUCCCUGGCUUGGACUCAUGCUACAUCCAGGGCAGGUCUGUCAGCUCCUCACCUGCAGGCGUGCCCCGCUUCCCGUUAGCGGCGUCUGCACCGCGGCUAAAAUGAGCGCAGGUGUGACCGAGGUGGGACAUGCCCAUGUGAGCUGAAACCAGGGCAGCCGAAAUGAGCAGGAGGAAAAGUGCCGAGGGACUAGCUGACCCAGAAAUCAUUCCUCCUGGUGCUUUCUCCCCAGAUCCGAGGUUGGGGAGAAGGACCCUGACCUGAUGGAGCAGGUGGCUCCCACCUCCCCGCCUCCCGAGGAUGCCCGAGCAAGGCUUGCACCCUGCAAUGCCAACUUCCGCAGGAUGCUGCGCAGCUGUUUACACAGGCCUGCUGGUGCUUACACCGUCCACCCCGCCCCAGGCCAUUUUUUUUUUCCCAAGUUAAAAGCAUUUUUAUGGCCCUCUAGAUGGCAGUUACUUCUGGAUACUUCCUUUUGUCUCUGCCUUCUUCUCCCUCAGGCCUUCCCUGGCCCAGAUCUCUGUCCAGGGCGCCAAGUGGCGUCAAGGAGAGGGAGAGGAAUGCGGGCUGGCCCCUCCAGAGGGACUGCUGAAAGGUGUGGCCGCUUAUCUCCCCUUGCCCUGGGCUGUGGCUGCGUCCUCUGGUCUCUACCUGUGAGCGGGUGGCCUGACCCUGUUGUCCGAGGGACUCUAACUUGAUUCAUUGGGGAAAGCCUCUGACCUAGAAUUUUCUCUGAACCACCCCUUCCCUUUCUCUUCUGCCUCCUGACACUUGGUGGCUGGUUAUUGCUUCGUUUUUUUUUUCUUUUAAGGUUUAUUUAUUUAUACAUACAAGAACUGGGGUACAGGCACCCCAGAGUUUUGUCACCGCCAGAGUUUUGGGGGAUGAGAGGAUUCCUCAGAGACAGAAUGGGGAACAGAACAGGCAGAUCAACUGAAAUACAGUGUGAGGGGAGCAGCGGGGAGUCAGGAGAGGUCUGCUGCGCCGUGUGGGUAGCUCCCUGGCCGGGGAUCAAACUUGCACUGCAGUGGCUGCAGGUAGGUUCGUAGGUUGCGUCUUAAUAACCCCUUGCGCCACCAGGGAGGUCCCUAUUGCUCCUUUUUGAAGCCGAGCCUUGACUCAGCCUGAGCAUAGAAAGCAUCCGAGCAGCGCUCACGUUCCGCGCCUUGUUUAUCUUCCAGGCACUGGCCUGGUGACUCAUAUGUGGGAGGAGGAACCACGUUAUAGGCUUGGGGAAUGUUAUCCAAGACCGGGACCAACCCGCUUCCCAGGCUCAGCACAGGCCGAGGAGGGGCUCUCAGAAUAGAUCCCUAUGGGCAACAGGCGGCAGCCGGAGCUGCCGGACGGAGCCACAUCCUUGCCCGGCCCGGCCCGACUGGGAAGAAGAAACCCCCGACACCAAUAGGUGCGGAAAGGGGAUGAUCGCCCCUGGACAAAAUGCUGAGAGCAAGGCCGGUACAAGCCUGUGGACAGAGGUGGGGAUUCAAAGGCAACACAACUUUUUACGCUAUUUCGGGAGGAUUCUAGAACCUUCAUGACUUGUCUUUUACCUUUACCCAAUAAUUACAGGAUGGGACAAGGUGUGAGGCCACAGGGGUGUGAAGAGGGAGAGCAGUUCCCACCCAGAGGUGCCCUGAAAGCCUUCCAGGCCUUAGGGGUGGGGGCCGGAGGGGGCCCAUCAGCUGGUCACCGCCAUAGACUUGCCGCUCGGGCCAUCCUGUCAAUGUAAGUGACAGCCGUGGGGUCCUGGCCCCUGGGCCCUUGGAGGAAGCCGAGGCUCGCCAGCCUUCAGCACCGGGUCUGGGGACGCCUGCCGGAGAAGGGAGGCCGGGAGAAGCCCAGAAGUCGGAAGAGUCACGUCGGGUGCAUUGGUUCCCCACCCGCCGCGGCGCAGCCCUCUCUGACCCUGGCUGGAGAGAGGUUCGAGUCCGGCGUGGCCUCGGGAGCUUCUGCUGCUCCGUCCACCCUCGCAGAAAAACAAAAGCGAACAAAACCAGACCCACAAAUAAAACAAAAGGCUGA